This 119-nucleotide ribosomal RNA is filed under the name Pteropus alecto (black flying fox). The record is from RNAcentral. Lineage: Eukaryota; Metazoa; Chordata; Mammalia; Chiroptera; Pteropodidae.
GUCUGUGGCCACGCCACCCUUAGCAGGCCCGAUCCCGUCUGAUCUCGGAAGCUAAGCAGGGUUGGGCCUGGUUAGCACUUGGAUGGGAGACCACCUGGGAAGACCAGGUGCUGUAGGCA